CUCGGAAGCUAUCUCCUGCAAGUCGAGCCAUUCUACUCUCAGGCCCUGCAGAGCUAUAUCAACAGAUGCUUGCAAAGGCACUAGCGCAUCACUUUGAGGCCAAACUAUUGUUGCUAGAUAUAACUGACUUCUCUCUCAAGAUGCAGAGCAAAUAUGGUCAUGGCA
Molecule: long non-coding RNA, 165 nt
Organism: Asparagus officinalis (garden asparagus)
Lineage: Eukaryota; Viridiplantae; Streptophyta; Magnoliopsida; Asparagales; Asparagaceae
Exons: 3
Source: RefSeq, a predicted model, not a curated record